UUCCUCAUCAAUCAUGGGGCGCUAGCCUGGGUGAGAUGCAGGCCCUGGGCAGCCACACCUCUGCUCCCCAGAACUUAGAAUGUUUCUCCAGGGAGAGAAUUUCACAGCUCAUUGACUGCUCUGACUCCUAAUCUACACCGGAGGAAACAAUGUUGCAGCUCAUCAAAUGCAAUCAGCUGCUAAUUGAAAGGAAAUGGAAUUUUACAAUUACAGGCCACCUUUCAGUGCUCAGGAUUUCUAAGCCUUCUCCCCACCCUCCUUGGCCAGCUCAGCACUGGCAGGAGCACUUGACAACCUGCUGGAGACUUCCCUGAGAACUGCAUUUAGGAUCUGGCCCAGAGCCGCAAAAAGGGAAGCAGCAUCCUUGCCAGUUCCUAGACUGUCCUUCAAGGCUCAGUGCAAAGGGAAGAGGCUGGGGUUGGGCAUCCACAGACCUAAGUGAGUGUGCUGGCUCACCUUCCCGCCGCCCCUUUGACUUGAACAAGGUAUGCCCUUGUUCUUCCCCGAGCCCCACUUUCCUUCUCUCCAAAAUCAAGAUUUAAUGAUUUCCAAGGUUCUCAUUGGGCUUCCUUGGUGGCUCAAUGGUAAAGAAUCUGCCUGCAAUGCUGGAGAAAUGGGUUCAAUUACUGGGUUGGAAAGAUUCGCUGGAGAAGGAAAUAGCAAUCCGCACCAGUAUUCUUGCCUGGAAAAUCGCAUGGACAGAGGAGUCUGGAAGGCUACAGUCCAUGGGGUUGCAAAAGAGUCAGACAUGACUGAGCAACUAAACAACAAAACAACAGAGCUUAUUAGCUCCGAGGAUUCUGUUCACCCUAUUCCUGCUACUAUUCCCAUCCAGUGGACAACAUCUAAGUGGACAUACUCUUGCUGGCCCAGAUAUCUGCUUUUGCAAAUGCUACCAGGAUUAUCAGUUCCCUGAGGGCAAAGUCUCUGGAAAAUGUUACUGCAUCUAAUCACGGCCUGGAUGCUGUGCAGGAGAACACUCUAAGAGGCCAGGCGUGCGGCCUGGAUUUGCCUAACCUUGGCUGGAACUUCAGAGCUCAGGGAUUCAGUUGCAGAUCAGCUCAGAGGUCUGUUUCUGAUUAGCUUGACAGCCAUCUUGAAUGCCUGCUAGUCAUUUAACCUGGCAGAGAGUAAAGGCCUCUCCCCCAAAUAGAGUGUAAAACCACAACCACAACCCACAAGACCUUGAGACGUGCAAAUCCAGCCAUUACCCAAUGGCAAGUAUGGGAGUGUGCCGGGAGGCGGUCUCUUCCAGAUCCUUAAGUCCAGAUUCACUUUGGAUCACAUUGCACUGACUCACGGAGGACACAGUGGGAGGACUGACCUUCCAGUGUCACCAACCUCAACAGUUGCAGGACCCUGAGGAUGAUUUUGUACCUGAAUGAGUCUGAAGUCUCAAAGGAUCAAGUCACUUGGGGAUUCAGUAAGGCAGAGGAGCUGUGGGAUUGCCUGAUGGUGAUGUCAUAGCCAUGCCAGCACCACCUUCUAAGCAGCCAUCUGCCUCUUUGAGUAGCCUCUACCCCACCUUGAUUUAUACAUGAUAUUUUAUAAUAGCCAAAGCGAUGCUCAAAGAAAUUUCCUCAGCCUCCUACCACCACCCUGGGCAUGUAAUAAUGCCACAGAAGUACACGACCUGUCAUGUCUUAUUACUUAAGUAUAGGUCUGAGAAGCUUCUCCAUGAGGCAGCAUAAUAUGAAUGCUACCCAGGAUUGGCCCCAUAGAACACAGAGACAGAACACUAUCAUCUCAGCGUUCUCAAGCAGAAUUCCUAUCUCCAGGCUUUAUUCCAAUUAAAGCUGAAAAACAUGGAGCCAUGGUGCCCAGCUCUCCUUUCUGGCAUGUUGGCAGAAACACAGUAAGGAUAUGGACCCAGAAGUCCAGCUUUGGGCCCCAGGUCCGCAGCUCCCUGCCUGAGUGUGUUGAGAAAGUCCCCUUCAGAGUUGCAACUUCCUCCUCUCAAGAGUGAGGGUAAUGAUACAGCUUGCCUGGUGAGUUCUUAAGAGGAUCAAGUGACCCAAUAGGUUGAAAAAUGUGUGUGUGUGCAUGUGUGUGCGUGUGCACAUGCCCAAAUGCUCAGUCAUGUCCAAUUCUUCUGUGACCCCGUGGACAGGAGUCCACCAGACUCCUCUGUCCAUGGGAUUGUCCAGGCAAGAAUACUAGAGUGAGUGGCCAUUUCCUACCUCAGGGGAUUUUCCCAACCCAGGAAUUGAACCCACACCUCUUGUGUCUCCUGCCUUGGCAGGCAGAGACUUACUACUACUACUACCUGGGAAGCCCUGCUUUGUCAAUUAAGC
This is a long non-coding RNA of Bos taurus (domestic cattle), 2294 nucleotides long. The record is from Ensembl. Lineage: Eukaryota; Metazoa; Chordata; Mammalia; Artiodactyla; Bovidae.